AUAAUACCUAGUGUUCUGUUUUUAUCAGCUGAGUCAGCAGUGAGAUACAAUUUCAACUCUUUGACAGAAAAAGGUCCACAUGCUGAAUAUCACAGGCUCCCAGGAGUUUAAUGAGGAAUGUUUCAAUUAUAAAGGCAUUUUUUCACCUGAUCAACCGUCUGUCUAAUUAAUCUCUUGGGAAGCUGCGAUGUUCAGCAUGUGGACUACCUCUCUCUCUACCAUACGCUGCUUUGCUGCUGCACCUGUACCCACCUGGGGUUGGACGUG
Molecule: long non-coding RNA, 267 nt
Organism: Siniperca chuatsi (mandarin fish)
Lineage: Eukaryota; Metazoa; Chordata; Actinopteri; Centrarchiformes; Sinipercidae
Exons: 2
Source: RefSeq, a predicted model, not a curated record